RNAcentral lists this ribosomal RNA (231 nucleotides) under uncultured bacterium. RNAcentral's name for it is "partial 16S ribosomal RNA". It matches the Rfam family "Bacterial small subunit ribosomal RNA", at positions 118 to 347 of the family's 1533-position model. The record is from RNAcentral.
UGAGUAACCUGCCCUUCACUCUGGGAUAACUCCGGGAAACCGGGGCUAAUACUGGAUAUGACUCGAACAGGCAUCUGUUUCGGGUGGAAAGAUUUAUUGGUGGAGGAUGGACUCGCGGCCUAUCAGCUUGUUGGUGAGGUAAUGGCUCACCAAGGCAACGACGGGUAGCUGGUCUGAGAGGAUGGCCAGCCACAUUGGGACUGAGACACGGCCCAGACUCCUACGGGAGCA